UGCAGUCGAGCGCGCCUUUCGGGGUGAGCGGCGGACGGGUUAGUAACGCGUGGGAAUAUACCCUUUGGUACGGAAUAGCCUCUGGAAACGGAGAGUAAUACCGUAUGAGCCCUUCGGGGGAAAGAUUUAUCGCCAAAGGAUUAGCCCGCGUUAGAUUAGGUAGUUGGUGGGGUAAUGGCCUACCAAGCCUACGAUCUAUAGCUGGUUUUAGAGGAUGAUCAGCAACACUGGGACUGAGACACGGCCCAGACUCCUACGGGAGGCAGCAGUGGGGAAUCUUGGACAAUGGGGGCAACCCUGAUCCAGCCAUGCCGCGUGAGUGAUGAAGGCCUUAGGGUCGUAAAGCUCUUUCGCCUGUGAAGAUAAUGACGGUAGCAGGUAAAGAAACCCCGGCUAACUCCGUGCCAGCAGCCGCGGUAAUACGGAGGGGGUUAGCGUUGUUCGGAAUUACUGGGCGUAAAGCGCACGUAGGCGGACUGGAAAGUUGGGGGUGAAAUCCCGGGGCUCAACCCCGGAACUGCCUCCAAAACUAUCAGUCUAGAGUUCGAGAGAGGUGAGUGGAAUUCCGAGUGUAGAGGUGAAAUUCGUAGAUAUUCGGAGGAACACCAGUGGCGAAGGCGGCUCACUGGCUCGAUACUGACGCUGAGGUGCGAAAGUGUGGGGAGCAAACAGGAUUAGAUACCCUGGUAGUCCACACCGUACACGAUGAAUGCCAGUCGUCGGGUAGCAUGCUAUUCGGUGACACACCUAACGGAUUAAGCAUUCCGCCUGGGGAGUACGGUCGCAAGAUUAAAACUCAAAGGAAUUGACGGGGGCCCG
Molecule: ribosomal RNA, 819 nt
Filed under: Paracoccaceae bacterium
Lineage: Bacteria; Pseudomonadati; Pseudomonadota; Alphaproteobacteria; Rhodobacterales; Paracoccaceae
Description: bacterial SSU rRNA
Rfam family: Bacterial small subunit ribosomal RNA
Source: RNAcentral